CACUAUCGUUAACUGAAUACAUAGGUUAACGAGGCGAACCGGGGGAACUGAAACAUCUAAGUACCCCGAGGAAAAGAAAUCAACCGAGAUUCCCCCAGUAGCGGCGAGCGAACGGGGAGCAGCCCAGAGUCUGAAUCAGCUUGUGUGUUAGUGGAACGGUCUGGAAAGUCCGACGGUACAGGGUGAUAGUCCCGUACACCAAAAUGCACAGGUUGUGAACUCGAAGAGUAGGGCGGGACACGUGGUAUCCUGUCUGAAUAUGGGGGGACCAUCCUCCAAGGCUAAAUACUCCUGACUGACCGAUAGUGAACCAGUACCGUGAGGGAAAGGCGAAAAGAACCCCGGCGAGGGGAGUGAAAAAGAACCUGAAACCGUGUACGUACAAGCAGUGGGAGCACCUUCGGGUGUGACUGCGUACCUUUUGUAUAAUGGGUCAGCGACUUAUAUUCUGUAGCAAGGUUAACCGUAUAGGGGAGCCGCAGGGAAACCGAGUCUUAACUGGGCGUUAAGUUGCAGGGUAUAGACCCGAAACCCGGUGAUCUAGCCAUGGGCAGGUUGAAGGUUGGGUAACACUAACUGGAGGACCGAACCGACUAAUGUUGAAAAAUUAGCGGAUGACUUGUGGCUGGGGGUGAAAGGCCAAUCAAACCGGGAGAUAGCUGGUUCUCCCCGAAAGCUAUUUAGGUAGCGCCUCGUGAACUCAUCUUCGGGGGUAGAGCACUGUUUCGGCUAGGGGGUCAUCCCGACUUACCAACCCGAUGCAAACUACGAAUACCGAAGAAUGUUAUCACGGGAGACACACGGCGGGUGCUAACGUCCGUCGUGAAGAGGGAAACAACCCAGACCGCCAGCUAAGGUCCCAAAGUCACAGUUAAGUGGGAAACGAUGUGGGAAGGCACAGACAGCCAGGAUGUUGGCUUAGAAGCAGCCAUCAUUUAAAGAAAGCGUAAUAGCUCACUGGUCGAGUCGGCCUGCGCGGAAGAUGUAACGGGGCUAAACUGUGCACCGAAGCUGCGGCAGCGACACUAUGUGUUGUUGGGUAGGGGAGCGUUCUGUAAGCCUGCGAAGGUGGCCUGUGAGGGUUGCUGGAGGUAUCAGAAGUGCGAAUGCUGACAUAAGUAACGAUAAUGCGGGUGAAAAGCCCGCACGCCGGAAGACCAAGGGUUCCUGUCCAACGUUAAUCGGGGCAGGGUGAGUCGACCCCUAAGGCGAGGCCGAAAGGCGUAGUCGAUGGGAAACAGGUUAAUAUUCCUGUACUUGGUGUUACUGCGAAGGGGGGACGGAGAAGGCUAUGUUAGCCGGGCGACGGUUGUCCCGGUUUAAGCAUGUAGGCGGAGGUUCCAGGUAAAUCCGGUACCUUUUUAACGCUGAGGUGUGAUGACGAGGCACUACGGUGCUGAAGUAACAAAUGCCCUGCUUCCAGGAAAAGCCUCUAAGCAUCAGGUAACAUUAAAUCGUACCCCAAACCGACACAGGUGGUCAGGUAGAGAAUACCAAGGCGCUUGAGAGAACUCGGGUGAAGGAACUAGGCAAAAUGGUGCCGUAACUUCGGGAGAAGGCACGCUGAUAUGUAGGUGAAGCCCCUGCGGGUGGAGCUGAAAUCAGUCGAAGAUACCAGCUGGCUGCAACUGUUUAUUAAAAACACAGCACUGUGCAAACACGAAAGUGGACGUAUACGGUGUGACGCCUGCCCGGUGCCGGAAGGUUAAUUGAUGGGGUUAUCCGUAAGGAGAAGCUCUUGAUCGAAGCCCCGGUAAACGGCGGCCGUAACUAUAACGGUCCUAAGGUAGCGAAAUUCCUUGUCGGGUAAGUUCCGACCUGCACGAAUGGCGUAAUGAUGGCCAGGCUGUCUCCACCCGAGACUCAGUGAAAUUGAACUCGCUGUGAAGAUGCAGUGUACCCGCGGCAAGACGGAAAGACCCCGUGAACCUUUACUAUAGCUUGACACUGAACAUUGAGCCUUGAUGUGUAGGAUAGGUGGGAGGCUUUGAAGCGUGGACGCCAGUCUGCGUGGAGCCAACCUUGAAAUACCACCCUUUAAUGUUUGAUGUUCUAACGUUGGCCCCUAAUCGGGGUUGCGGACAGUGUCUGGUGGGUAGUUUGACUGGGGCGGUCUCCUCCCAAAGAGUAACGGAGGAGCACGAAGGUUAGCUAAUCCUGGUCGGACAUCAGGAGGUUAGUGCAAUGGCAUAAGCUAGCUUGACUGCGAGCGUGACGGCGCGAGCAGGUGCGAAAGCAGGUCAUAGUGAUCCGGUGGUUCUGAAUGGAAGGGCCAUCGCUCAACGGAUAAAAGGUACUCCGGGGAUAACAGGCUGAUACCGCCCAAGAGUUCAUAUCGACGGCGGUGUUUGGCACCUCGAUGUCGGCUCAUCACAUCCUGGGGCUGAAGUAGGUCCCAAGGGUAUGGCUGUUCGCCAUUUAAAGUGGUACGCGAGCUGGGUUUAGAACGUCGUGAGACAGUUCGGUCCCUAUCUGCCGUGGGCGCUGGAGAAUUGAGGGGGGCUGCUCCUAGUACGAGAGGACCGGAGUGGACGCAUCACUGGUGUUCGGGUUGUCAUGCCAAUGGCAUUGCCCGGUAGCUAAAUGCGGAAGAGAUAAGUGCUGAAAGCAUCUAAGCACGAAACUUGCCCCGAGAUGAGUUCUCCCUGAGACUUUAAGUCUCCUGAAGGAACGUUAAAGACGAUGACGUUGAUAGGUCGGGUGUGUAAGCGUAGCGAUACGUUGAGCUAACCGAUACUAAUGAACCGUGAGGCUUAACCUUACAACGCCGAAGGUGUUU
RNAcentral lists this ribosomal RNA (2779 nucleotides) under Klebsiella aerogenes. RNAcentral's name for it is "bacterial LSU rRNA". It matches the Rfam family "Bacterial large subunit ribosomal RNA". Lineage: Bacteria; Pseudomonadati; Pseudomonadota; Gammaproteobacteria; Enterobacterales; Enterobacteriaceae. The record is from RNAcentral.